CAAUAUCACAAGGACCACAGAUCUACGAUGAAAAGCUCAGAAUGGAGAAGUUCAGAAGAGAGACAAGUAUACGAGAGGAACGGUGGAGGUGAGCAGACGGAGGAGAAACACAACGACCGAGACAGUCAAUUAGUUUUGCCUCUUUGCGGCGUGUCACCUGCAGACAGAAACUUCAUUUCCAGUGAUUAAAUUCCCCAAAAAUAUUUCAUCUGUCAGUGUCACGGCCACCGACGUGUCCUGCGCACUCAGCCGUG
Ictalurus punctatus (channel catfish) is the source of this 254-nucleotide long non-coding RNA. The record is from Ensembl. NCBI's taxonomy places the organism in Eukaryota, Metazoa, Chordata, Actinopteri, Siluriformes, Ictaluridae.